RNAcentral lists this ribosomal RNA (141 nucleotides) under Fabrea salina. Its description in RNAcentral is "5.8S ribosomal RNA". It matches the Rfam family "5.8S ribosomal RNA". Rfam says of the family: 5.8S ribosomal RNA (5.8S rRNA) is a component of the large subunit of the eukaryotic ribosome. It is transcribed by RNA polymerase I as part of the 45S precursor that also contains 18S and 28S rRNA. The record is from RNAcentral. Lineage: Eukaryota; Ciliophora; Heterotrichea; Heterotrichida; Fabreidae.
AAACCUCAGCGAUGGAUAUCUCGGCUCUUGUAACGAUGAAGAACGCAGCAAACUGCGAAAAGCACUGCGAAUUGCAGAACUCCGUGAGUCAGUAGAUCUUCGAACGCAAACGCGCCCUCGGGCAUGCUUGUUUCAGGGCCU